Molecule: unclassified non-coding RNA, 241 nt
Filed under: uncultured Russulaceae
Lineage: Eukaryota; Fungi; Basidiomycota; Agaricomycetes; Russulales; Russulaceae
Description: sequence contains ITS1
Source: RNAcentral
UCGUACAAAAACGUGUGAGGCAUGUGAGGGCUGUCGCUGGCUUUUUGUGACAUUGCAAAAAAGCCGUGCACGCCGGAGGGUGUCCUCUCACGUAAAAUCCAUCUCACCCCUUUUGUGCACCACCGCGUGGGUAACCCUUCGGGAUCGAACAGAUCCAGGAAGGGGGGCUCGCGUUUUCACACAAACCCCCUUUUAAAAAGUGUAGAAUGACCUCAUUUUUUGCGAUUACACGCAAUCAAUA